RNAcentral lists this non-coding RNA (953 nucleotides) under Abrothrix jelskii (Jelski's South American field mouse). Its description in RNAcentral is "12S ribosomal RNA". It matches the Rfam family "Microsporidia small subunit ribosomal RNA". Lineage: Eukaryota; Metazoa; Chordata; Mammalia; Rodentia; Cricetidae. The record is from RNAcentral.
GAAAGGUUUGGUCCUAGCCUUAUAAUUAGUUAGAGGUAAAUUUACACAUGCAAAGCUCCGUAUACCAGUGUCAAAUCCCCCAAAAUUUAUACAAAUUCUGGGGAGAGGGCAUCAAGUACAUAUAGAUAGCUAAAGACGCCUUGCCUAGCCACGCCCCCACGGGUCCCAGCAGUGAUAAAAAUUAAGCAAUGAACGAAAGUUUGACUAAGUUAUACCUCUUUAGGGUUGGUAAAUUUCGUGCCAGCCACCGCGGUCAUACGAUUAACCCAAAUUAAUUAUUCAACGGCGUAAAACGUGUCCUUAGAGCCUGCCAAAAUAGAAUUAAAAAUCAACUNAUAUGUGAAAAUUCAUUGUUGAAACUAAAAUCAGUGACGAAAGUAAUUCUAAUNNUNUUAAUACACGAUAGCUAAGACCCAAACUGGGAUUAGAUACCCCACUAUGCUUAGCCCUAAACUUCAAUAAUUUCUUUUUACAAAAUUAUUUGCCCGAGAACUACUGGCCACAGCUUAAAACUCAAAGGACUUGGCGGUACUUUAUAUCCANCUAGAGGAGCCUGUUCUAUAAUCGAUAAACCCCGCUACACCUUACCAUUUCUUGCAAGUUCAGCCUAUAUACCGCCAUCUUCAGCAAACCUUAAAAAAGAAUAAAAGUAAGCAAGAGAACAAUCAUAAAAACGUUAGGUCAAGGUGUAGCCUAUGAAAUGGAAAGCAAUGGGCUACAUUUUCUCACUAAGAACAUCACGAAAUCUCUUAUGAAAUUAAGAGAUGAAGGAGGAUUUAGUAGUAAACUAAGAAUAGAGAGCUUAGUUGAAUAGAGCAAUGAAGUACGCACACACCGCCCGUCACCCUCCUCAAACUAAAUAAACAGAGCAUUUUCAUAAAUACUUCUAAAACUUUACCAGAGGAGGCAAGUCGUAAGAUGGUAAGCAUACUGGAAAGUGUGCUUGGAAUAAC